Non-coding RNA from Brachypodium distachyon (stiff brome), 137 nucleotides. The record is from Rfam. Lineage: Eukaryota; Viridiplantae; Streptophyta; Magnoliopsida; Poales; Poaceae.
AUACUAUUCCCUUCGUUCAACAAAGGAUGUCUCAAUUUUGAUCAAAUUUGAAUGCAUCUAUAUACUAAGUCAUGUCUAGAUACAUCCAAAUUUUGACAAACUUGAGAGACAUCUUUUGUUGGACGGAGGAGUAUAUA